This is a ribosomal RNA of 497 nucleotides. It matches the Rfam family "Bacterial large subunit ribosomal RNA", at positions 1923 to 2593 of the family's 2925-position model.
UUAAACGGCCGCGGUAUUUUGACCGUGCGAAGGUAGCGUAAUCAUUUGUCUUUUAAAUGAAGACUUGUAUGAAUGGCGUCACGAGAACUAAUCUGUCUCCCUCCCCUAAUCAGUGAAACUGAUCUUCCCGUGCAGAAGCGGGAAUAACAUUAUAAGACGAGAAGACCCUGUGGAGCUUCAAAUCAAAAAUCAACUUCUUUCACUAUCCCCCAUAAGGAAAUACUUAUACAGAUUUGAUUUAAGAUUUUUAGCUGGGGCGGCUGUGGAGAAAAAAUAAUCCUCCAUGAAGACACAUGCUAAGGGCUAUCGCCAUAAGCAUUAAUAAACUUAAUCUAAAUUGACCCAAUUUUUGAUCAACAGACCAAGUUACCCCAGGGAUAACAGCGCAAUCCACUUUUAGAGUCCCUAUCGACAAGUGGGCUUACGACCUCGAUGUUGGAUCAGGGCAUCCUAGUGGUGCAGCCGCUACUAAAGGUUCGUUUGUUCAACGAUUAAAG